GAUGAACGCUGGCGGCGUGCCUAAUACAUGCAAGUCGAGCGAACGGACGAGAAGCUUGCUUCUCUGAUGUUAGCGGCGGACGGGUGAGUAACACGUGGAUAACCUACCUAUAAGACUGGGAUAACUCGGGAAACCGGAGCUAAUACCGGAUAAUAUUUUGAACCGCAUGGUUCAAUAGUGAAAGACGGUCUUGCUGUCACUUAUAGAUGGAUCCGCGCUGCAUUAGCUAGUUGGUAAGGUAACGGCUUACCAAGGCAACGAUGCAUAGCCGACCUGAGAGGGUGAUCGGCCACACUGGAACUGAGACACGGUCCAGACUCCUACGGGAGGCAGCAGUAGGGAAUCUUCCGCAAUGGGCGAAAGCAUGACGGAGCAACGCCGCGUGAGUGAUGAAGGUCUUCGGAUCGUAAAACUCUGUUAUUAGGGAAGAACAUAUGUGUAAGUAACUGUGCACAUCUUGACGGUACCUAAUCAGAAAGCCACGGCUAACUACGUG
This 496-nucleotide ribosomal RNA is filed under the name uncultured bacterium. RNAcentral's name for it is "partial 16S ribosomal RNA". It matches the Rfam family "Bacterial small subunit ribosomal RNA", at positions 28 to 507 of the family's 1533-position model. The record is from RNAcentral.